AGAGUUUGAUCCUGGCUCAGGAUGAACGCUGGCGGAAUGCUUUACACAUGCAAGUCGAACGGCAGCACAGGAGCUUGCUCCUGGUGGCGAGUGGCGAACGGGUGAGUAAUGCGUCGGAACGUAUCCAUUAAUGGGGGAUAACGCAGCGAAAGCUGUGCUGAUACCGCAUACGCCCCGAGGGGGAAAGCAGGGGAUCUUCGGACCUUGCGUUAUUGGAGCGGCCGACGUCUGAUUAGCUAGUUGGUGAGGUAAAGGCUCACCAAGGCGACGAUCAGUAGCUGGUCUGAGAGGAUGAUCAGCCACACUGGAACUGAGACACGGUCCAGACUCCUACGGGAGGCAGCAGUGGGGAAUUUUGGACAAUGGGCGCAAGCCUGAUCCAGCCAUUCCGCGUGAGUGAAGAAGGCCUUCGGGUUGUAAAGCUCUUUCGGCAGGGAAGAAACAGUUGAGGCUAAUAUCCUUGACCAAUGACGGUACCUGCAUAAGAAGCACCGGCUAACUACGUGCCAGCAGCCGCGGUAAUACGUAGGGUGCGAGCGUUAAUCGGAAUUACUGGGCGUAAAGCGUGCGCAGGCGGUUUUUCAAGUCUGAUGUGAAAGCCCCGGGCUUAACCUGGGAACUGCGUUGGAAACUGAAAGACUAGAGUGCGGCAGAGGGGGGUAGAAUUCCACGUGUAGCAGUGAAAUGCGUAGAUAUGUGGAGGAAUACCGAUGGCGAAGGCAGCCCCCUGGGUCGACACUGACGCUCAUGCACGAAAGCGUGGGUAGCAAACAGGAUUAGAUACCCUGGUAGUCG
RNAcentral lists this ribosomal RNA (795 nucleotides) under uncultured bacterium. RNAcentral describes it as "bacterial SSU rRNA". It matches the Rfam family "Bacterial small subunit ribosomal RNA", at positions 8 to 796 of the family's 1533-position model. The record is from RNAcentral.